UUGAGCCUACGGGGCGCAGCAGUCGAGAAUCAUUCACAAUGGGGGAAACCCUGAUGGUGCGACGCCGCGUGGGGGAAUGAAGGUCUUCGGAUUGUAAACCCCUGUCAUGUGGGAGCAAAUUAAAAAGAUAGUACCACAAGAGGAAGAGACGGCUAACUCUGUGCCAGCAGACGCGGUAAUACAGAGGUCUCAAGCGUUGUUCGGAAUCACUGGGCGUAAAGCGGGCGUAGGCUGUUUCGUAAGUCGUGUGUGAAAGGCGCGGGCUCAAACCGAGGACGGCACAUGAUACUGCGAGACUAGAGUAA
Molecule: ribosomal RNA, 305 nt
Filed under: uncultured bacterium
Lineage: Bacteria
Description: bacterial SSU rRNA
Rfam family: Bacterial small subunit ribosomal RNA
Source: RNAcentral